This 266-nucleotide unclassified non-coding RNA is filed under the name Hevea brasiliensis (rubber tree). The record is from RNAcentral. Lineage: Eukaryota; Viridiplantae; Streptophyta; Magnoliopsida; Malpighiales; Euphorbiaceae.
UGGCUACAAUCCCUGCUAUCUUCAACGCACUUGGAAUCAUUGCCCUUUCUUUUAGAGGUCACAACCUUGUGCUUGAGAUACAAGGAACAUUACCAUCAAGUUCAAAACAUCCCUCAAGCAAGUCAAUGUGGAGAGGAGUGCUUCUAUCAUACCUUAUUAUAGCAAUGUGCAUAUUGCCAGGGGAAAUAUGNNNNNNNNNNNNNAUGGAAACAAGAUACCUACAAAAGUAGGAAAUACAAGCAUAUUUCUACAAUUUUACAGCCAAA